Molecule: ribosomal RNA, 863 nt
Filed under: Thielaviopsis euricoi
Lineage: Eukaryota; Fungi; Ascomycota; Sordariomycetes; Microascales; Ceratocystidaceae
Description: LSU rRNA
Rfam family: Eukaryotic large subunit ribosomal RNA
Source: RNAcentral
AUUGCCCUAGUAACGGCGAGUGAAGCGGCAACAGCUCAAAUUUGAAAUCUGGCUACUUUGUAGUCCGAGUUGUAAUUUGUAGAGGAUGCUUUUGGUGAGGUGCCUUCCGAGUUCCCUGGAACGGGACGCCAUAGAGGGUGAGAGCCCCGUACGGUUGGAUGCCAAACCUUUGUAUAGCUCCUUCAACGAGUCGAGUAGUUUGGGAAUGCUGCUCUAAAUGGGAGGUAUAUCUCUUCUAAAGCUAAAUAUAGGCUAGAGACCGAUAGCGCACAAGUAGAGUGAUCGAAAGAUGAAAAGCACUUUGAAAAGAGAGUUAAACAGCACGUGAAAUUGUUGAAAGGGAAGCGCCUAUGACCAGACUUGUCUCUAUCAGUUUUGCUAGUUUUCGGACUGGUUUACUCUGUUAGUACAGGCCAGCAUCAGUUUGUUGUUAGGGAGAAAGGCUUUGGGAAUGUGGCUCCUCCGGGAGUGUUAUAGCCCUUUGCAUAAUACCUUUCGGCAGACUGAGGACCGCGCUUCGGCAAGGAUGCUGGCGUAAUGGUCAUCAGCGACCCGUCUUGAAACACGGACCAAGGAGUCAACCUUAUGUGCGAGUGUUUGGGUGUAAAACCCCAGCGCGUAAUGAACGUGAACGUAGGUGAGAGCUUCGGCGCAUCAUCGACCGAUUCUGAUGUUCUCGGAUGGAUUUGAGUAAGAGCACACAGGGUUGGACCCGAAAGAAGGUGAACUAUGCUUGUAUAGGGUGAAGCCAGAGGAACUCUGGUGGAGGCUCGCAGCGGUUCUGACGUGCAAAUCGAUCGUCAAAUAUGAGCAUGGGGGCGAAAGACUAAUCGAACCUUCUAGUAGCUGGUUCCAGCCGAAGU